GGAUGUCGAGAGCAGCGACGACGAUUCACAACCGACUGAAGUUCCAGGCUCCAACUGGACCGAAUGGAUCCCUGUUAUGUAAGUACCUAUCACCGCAUCGAAUUUCCCGUUGUGAGUUCUGGACCGCAGAGGCUUGCUCAAGGAUAAAAACAAGAAAAAAAACAGUCCAAAGCACCUGGAUUUGCAGCAGCAACAAAACCGCUGUGUGUACCAUUGAGUGUAUUUUUCAUGUUUUGAGAGAAACCAACUUCUUUCCUAGUAAUCUGCAAAACAAACUCCAACCAUUAUUAUAUAGAGUACCAGCACUCCAAGAGUCCGUUCUCCUGUAAAAACCCCACCUAGACAAACUAAAAGUCCCUUCUUCGGAAAAUCUCACUUGGAUCCAAGACUUUACAGGCAGAUAUGAGUGACAUCAACAUGCCCAAGUAGCAGCAGGAACGAAUCUGUGCUUAGAUCUUGGGCAAUCAAAGAGGGAAAGAAGAAGAGGAAGAAAAAAUAAAAUUCCACCGAUGUAAGCAGUCAAAGGCUUAAAUCACACCACACACCGUGAUAUGCAUGACAACUUAUAUAUCCUACCAGGAAGAAGAAAGCACGCAAACGAAUUCCACGGUACAGCCACAGCGGUAGCGGUCGGUUCCUUUCAACCAGGACGAUAAACACACGCGAAUAAUCUACUUAAUGCCAAGCGACCACUAAAAAAGAAUGCUAUGAGACUCCCUCAUUCCAGCAAAGCUAGAGCGUUUCCUCGAUUCAAAUCAAGCGCUGCUUCGAUUGAAUCAAGGCGCCAUAGCUCGAUCGAGCCGAGGAACACGACGCGCCUAGGGAUUUCUUACCUGAUCGAUCGCAAAGACGCCGCUCGCCAUCGCCAAGAGCCAAACUCUAGGGCCG
This 888-nucleotide long non-coding RNA is filed under the name Selaginella moellendorffii. Its description in RNAcentral is "long non-coding RNA (SMOE_LNC000718)". The record is from RNAcentral. Lineage: Eukaryota; Viridiplantae; Streptophyta; Lycopodiopsida; Selaginellales; Selaginellaceae.